ACGGGAGGCAGCAGUAGGGAAUCUUCCGCAAUGGACGAAAGUCUGACGGAGCAACGCCGCGUGAGUGAUGAAGGUUUUCGGAUCGUAAAGCUCUGUUGUUAGGGAAGAACAAGUGCCGUUCAAAUAGGGCGGCACCUUGACGGUACCUAACCAGAAAGCCACGGCUAACUACGUGCCAGCAGCCGCGGUAAUACGUAGGUGGCAAGCGUUGUCCGGAAUUAUUGGGCGUAAAGGGCUCGCAGGCGGUUUCUUAAGUCUGAUGUGAAAGCCCCCGGCUCAACCGGGGAGGGUCAUUGGAAACUGGGGAACUUGAGUGCAGAAGAGGAGAGUGGAAUUCCACGUGUAGCGGUGAAAUGCGUAGAGAUGUGGAGGAACACCAGUGGCGAAGGCGACUCUCUGGUCUGUAACUGACGCUGAGGAGCGAAAGCGUGGGGAGCGAACAGGAUUAGAUACCCUGGUAGUCCACGCCGUAAACGAUGAGUGCUAAGUGUUAGGGGGUUUCCGCCCCUUAGUGCUGCAGCUAACGCAUUAAGCACUC
This 538-nucleotide ribosomal RNA is filed under the name Bacillus sp. LBRN-NC09. RNAcentral describes it as "bacterial SSU rRNA". It matches the Rfam family "Bacterial small subunit ribosomal RNA", at positions 341 to 869 of the family's 1533-position model. Lineage: Bacteria; Bacillati; Bacillota; Bacilli; Caryophanales; Bacillaceae. The record is from RNAcentral. RNAcentral also lists the same sequence under 1 other name.